UCAUCAUCACUUCAUCAUCCAUCGUAUGUCUCUCUAAUCUUUAUCAUACUCGCACAUAUGUUUUAAACCGCAAAUAUACAAUCAAAUUAUUCGUACAUAUGUAUACAAUACAUGAGCAUGUUAUCAAAUGAUUCGUACAUGUGCAUGUAUACAUGAUCAUGUGUGUGUGCUUGGAAUCAUUACGAUUUUUAUUGACUAUACACAUUGUCAGGAUCAAAGGUCGAAGAAGAAGUGAAGAUAUAUCAACUGAUUAUAUGUUUGGAGAUGAUUAAUAAGAAUCAUAGAAAAUGAUCAGCGAUAUGGAGUAAUCCUAUAACAACUGGUUCGAGUUUGAUCGAAUCGAUAUUUCUUUUCUUUCGAUUGCUUCGAAUAAAAAGUUGGAUCAUGGUUUGAGGCAAGUAAAAGAUCACCAGUUCCCCCUUUCACAACUUCAAUCUCUUUUGUCAAGGAUUAUAUUAUUACAUACUCUAUGUUUUAAUUUUCAACCAAAUUCAGGUUCUUAUUUUGUCAGAUUAUAUGAACUAAUAUUCAAUUCUAUAAUUGUUAUUUUUGUAUGACCAUUACGUGGUAUAAAAUCUCUUUAGCUAGUAUUCACUGAUACUCGAUUAAAAAUUCCGUAUG
Molecule: unclassified non-coding RNA, 621 nt
Filed under: Arabidopsis thaliana (thale cress)
Lineage: Eukaryota; Viridiplantae; Streptophyta; Magnoliopsida; Brassicales; Brassicaceae
Source: RNAcentral